ACGCGCCGCCUUUGAUUCCCCGCCGCACCUCUUGCGUGGCGCCAGGGGCCGGGCUGUGGCGCCAGAGCAUAUGCUUGGGCAUAACUGGGGCCGCCCGGACCCCUAAGGGCGGCCCUUUUAACCGCGAGCAACACGG
Molecule: small nucleolar RNA, 136 nt
Organism: Microcebus murinus (gray mouse lemur)
Lineage: Eukaryota; Metazoa; Chordata; Mammalia; Primates; Cheirogaleidae
Source: Ensembl